Molecule: ribosomal RNA, 253 nt
Filed under: uncultured bacterium
Lineage: Bacteria
Description: partial 16S ribosomal RNA
Rfam family: Bacterial small subunit ribosomal RNA
Source: RNAcentral
UACAGAGGUCCCAAGCGUUGUUCGGAUUCACUGGGCGUAAAGGGUGCGUAGGCGGUCGGGCAAGUCUGACGUGAAAUACCGGAGCUCAACUCCGGAAUGGCGUCGGAAACUGUCCGGCUGGAGGAUUGGAGGGGGGACUGGAAUUCUCGGUGUAGCAGUGAAAUGCGUAGAUAUCGAGAGGAACACCUGUGGCGAAGGCGAGUCCCUGGACAAUUCCUGACGCUGAGGCACGAAAGCUAGGGGAGCAAACAGG